AGGAGGAGGGCGCCGAGCGCUCCGGUGCGUGCGGGGAGCUGGAGCCUCGCUGCGGGAGGAGGAGGAGGAGACUCCCCGCCCCUAUGGCCGGGAUCUCCGGCAUCUUCAGGUGGGCCACGGCUUAGGCUCGGUACGUUUAGUUUCCUGUGGGUGAAGCAGAAGCAAGGCGGCUCUCCGGCAGUGCGGGUGCUGCAGCGGCCGGCCGGCAGCUCGGGAAUGCCCAGGGCGGCGCCGCGGAACAGACCGGUCGCAGAACACCGAGCAAAGAACGAGCCUGUAAAUUACGCAUCAGUAACUCCGGGGAAUUCCACGUUACGGGUUUCCUUCCCACUCAUCGCCGUUCCUUAAGUCAGUGUUUCGUAUUUUAAGAAAUAAAAACUUGGAUUUGUGUCAAGGUGGGCUUCCUGGAGAAAGGUGGUUCAAAUGCAUCUAGCCUUCAGAACUGCAGACUGCAGGAAAGAGUGAAAGAACAUUUAAAAAAUGAACCUAAAAAGCCAAAGUUUAUGUGGGCAAAUUGUCAUUUCUCAUUCAGCAUUAUCUUUUAUUGUUUCCAGCUCUUUAGUAGUUAAAUUUAUAUCUCUCCCCGCUUUAUUUUCUUUAAAGGCUGAUCAGAAAACAGUAGUUGUGUUGAUCACUAAUGAUAACCUAAUAUAGUUUGUUCUUAAGAAAAAGAAUUGAGUCAGGAUGUCCAGUUUAUUUUGCAGGCAAUGCUGCAGAGUAAAGCCAUUUGUGCUUUUUAAUUUCAGAUAAAGAAAAUACAUGUAUUUGCUUUUAGAGGACCAUAGAUACAUUUAAACUGUUAACAGAGUACAAAAAAACCAAAAGUGUUCUAGAUUUGGAGACUCAAUAACAUAAAUUGUUCUCAUGUGACCCUCUUAGGGUCUUGGAAUUCAUCAUAUUCUGUUCAGUCUGAAAUCUAACUCACAUUAUAUAGAAUUGAUUUUUAAUUUAAACAGCAAUUUUAAGUUUUAAAAAUUGACCUUGGCAAUGAAUUACUUAACAGUUUGCAGAUUGGUUGAAGCUCUAAGUCGGUUAUGACUUCAAAACUCCAACUGGGCUUAUGGUAGUCUUGAGUGAAAGCAAAGUUUGAACUCCAGUAUCAUUUGUGGGGUUUUGUAUACACAGGCAAGUGUUGCUGAUUGGUUAAUUUUACAGCACAAUGGUAAAACUUGCAUAUCUGAAAAACAUGAGACUUAGUUGUGUUAUCAUCUUCAUGAUGUUUUAAAAUUACCCACUUAAGCAAUUUUGCAGCAUUGGGCUAGAGCUUCAUCGUUAGAGACACACUGGCUCUUGCCAGCUGUCGCUGUAAUUUGACGUCUGGGUUUCAGGUUCGGUGUUGAUGGAUGGGAUUAUACAGUAGUCCUUUCUCACGGCACCUGGCAAUGCCCGUGUGGUACCGAAAGGUUUGUUGGGAUUCUCAGUUCAUCACACCGCUCCUGUUGCUUUCUGUCGUGAAGAUCAAUGUAAGAAAUUAUUUGGUGAGGUUUUGAAAGGCUGAGCUAUGAACUGUGUCCUCAGUUCACUGUCUUAUGUGUAUGUGUACUAUUAGCUGCCACAGAGAGUACUGGGGCUGCACCAGUGAUUGACUCGGUCGGUAGUGGAGAGACUGUCACGCUUAAUUUUAAGCACAGCGUGAUUAAAAUAGCAGAGCAGUUGGGGAGAAGACGAGCUGACCAGUCCCAUAGCUGAGAGCAAGCUCAGACUCACACCAUAUGGGUGUGAAAGAAUAGAUGAGGGUUUGAGUCGGGAGUCUUGGAGGCUAGACAUGGUUUCAUUGCAGUGGAAAAAUUGGCUGCUUCUUAAAUUGUCAUGCACUUGUCACUGAUAGUCUGAGUGUUCCUUAGAGUAUUCCUUUUAUAACGAAGUGUUCAACAAGUGACUUAAAAUGAUCAAAACUGUUGUAGUUCAGCCUGAUUAAUCCUGCACAGGAUGGGACUUGGAGUGUCAUUGCCACUUUUUGCCUGCCAGUCAGGCAGUCUGCCACAUGAUACCUGGCUAAAGCUCCCUUUCUGUGGCUGUUCCUGAGUGGGCUCUCAAAUAUGUUGCAAUGCAGGUGGAUUGAUACUGCUUGGUAUUCACUCAGAAUGAGUGGAUCAGCCAAAACUACCACAAGUCAGGCAAGGCCAGUGCCUACUUCUAGGAAUUUCCCCUCUCUUUCAUUCUUUUGUUUUAAAUUAAUUUUUUUGACCUUGUGGGAGAAGGAGGAGGGAGGAGCUGCCCUCAAAUGCUUUAGCAUGACUGGAGUAUAGUGUAAGAAGCUACUGAUGCAGGGGUUCAUUGCUGCCAUUUGCUGAACACAGUUUGCCAAAUCAAAUAGCCCAUCAGACAGGCUCAGCAUUCACUAACUCUUUUGUUUGUUGCAUGGUUGGCUGGGGUUAACUUAAUCUUGAAGAUUUAUGCAAAUAGCUGAUGUUUAGGAAGGCAUUCUCUAUGUACUAUCUUUGGAAAUUCUCAUAUAUUUGAACUUUCUAAAAUGGUAAUUUAUACUUACACAAUCCUUAAUGUGUUUGAGUAAUUUGAAAAAAUCCCCAAAAAUGUAUGAUAGAGUCAAGGACAUAUUAUGCUAAAUAAAGUAUAUUUUGGGUGACAUGGAGAAAUACAGGUGUAGGAGCAGAAAGAAGGAGGAACAGAGGAAUAGAGAUGGAGACAGGCAGACUAAAAUAUUUCAAACACUGAUGUGGGUUCAGUGGUUUGUAAUUGGGGCAUACAGGACUUGCAUCCUGAUAUAUUGAGGGAGAUGGACAGAUUGAUUCUCUGAAGAGUUUUGCCAGUACAUGCCAAAAGUUAAUCUAUGGUACAUGUGGUAGUAACCUGAAAAUAUCAACACAUUCUUGAAAACACUUGGUGGGAUUGAUUUCUAACAAUUCAGAGGUAAAUUAAAAAAACAUUACAGUGGUUUAUGGACAAAUAAUUUUUUCUUUUGAAAGGAAUAAAAAAAAUUCUGGACCUAAAUUAAUUCCCUCUUUUUGAGGAAUAACUGAGGUAGUCAAGGCCUCAUCCUAGCUAUUGCUCUUGGAAAGUGUGGAAAACAAUGGUAUUUUAUAGCAGUACCUCCCAAAAUUCAUGUGCAAAGUUCCCAUUGUUCAUUGUACUGUGUGAUCAUACUACAAAAAAGCAGUUCAUCUUGGAAGUAGUAUUAGUCACUUGCUUAUUUUGAAGCUCUUGGAUCAUUAUUUUAAGAACAUGGUGUUUAGCAAAACAUAGAUAUUUCUUUUUAAUCCCAAAUACAUUUCUUUUGAAUCUGAAUAUUCUAAGCAUUAGUCGAAUAAGUGCAUAGUUUUUGUGAUGUUAAUUUCUAUUUAAUAUUCCAGAAGCUAUUAAUAAAAUCAUUGAUGUUUAAAACUGAAACAUCUUCCUUGGAUAUAAUGCAAAUUGCAUCCCAGUAUAGUAGUUCAGUAAGGAAACGGAGUGCUAAGUCACUGUCUGGUUGAUCUGUAAUUAUUUCCUAUUCUGAAGCAAGUAUCCUAUUUUAGCCUCAUGUUAAACUUGUCCCAUUUUGCCUUAAAAUGUAUCUGCAUCUCCAAAUGGCCAGAUCUUUGUGUUUGAUGCUCACAUCUAUUUGCGAGAUUAAAUAUUCUGUUCUUUCUCAAAUAUCACUUCUGUUUGAUCUUGCAUAGCAUGUCUAAUUAUUUAUGUAUAUUAUACUUCUAGCAAGUAUGUGGAGGGUUCUUUUUGAAAAACAUUGCUUCAAAUAUUGUUUUUUGAACUUACUAGAAGUUAUGCUUAAAAGCAUGUUAGAGUUCAAAAACCCUGUCUUCCCAAACCCGUUGCUAUUUACAUUUGUGUCACAUCCAGUUACAUCAGACACACUGGAUUACAUUGUAUAAUGAAAGCCGUAUUGCUGUACUCUAAUCUUUAUCUCUUUAUAUCGGAUCUCCUUUGAAUUGCACAUGAGUAUUGCUUAUGGUUACUUAAAAUAACUACUGCUUUUGUUUCAAGGGCAGUGCUAUAUAUGAUGAACACUUAGCACUCAACCCUGCUUGGGCAGCAACUUCACAUCCUGUGUCUUUGGUUCUUGCAUGAUUUAAUUGGGAAGAUUGCACACAUUCUUUUUUUAUUUUUUCAUUUAAAUUUCAUAGUUGAAGAAUCUGAAACCUGUGAAAUCAUACAUGUUCAGAAAAAAAUAAUAUAUUUACCUGUGCAACUGUGCAGAUAAUUCUGAGAGAUUUGGAAUGUAUGCCUUCCUCCUCACAAAGCAGGUUAUAUACUCUUAGGGAGAGUGGAAAAGGACAAAGAGUAGGAGGAAAAUAAGUUUGUGCACUAAAGCUGACCUGAACUGGAGUUGGUUCUGACAUCACUGCCAGAGUAAUUCAUAGCCUUUAAGAGACUUCUGACCUCAUUUGAUAGGCAGUACAAAGAAGCAAUUUCUGCUGGCUUUGGGAGACUUGCACAUGUACAUACUGGUUAUAUGUAUUUUAUUUUUCUUUAAGUGAUUACCUAAGACAUUAUUCUGCAAGUAAUGCUUAAUAAUGUUAGUAGCUGCAGAAUCCAAGUUAGAAUGGCAUUUAGGGAGCACUGGAAGGGGAUUCUGCAUCAAAAUUUCCUCUUUUCCAGGGUAUCCUGAAUUUUUACUGUUGAACACACAUGCUGUUGUGGUGCUUUUAUAUAUGACUUCAUACAACAAAGCAAAGUGAAACAGACUUAAAAAAAAAAGAAAUCUUACUCUCCUAUCCUAUCUUACUAUCCUAUUUAGAAGUUAAACCUUUUUUAGAACUCUGUAUGGUCUUUUCCUCUCAGCUACCAUCUUGCUUAAAGAUGAACAAAUUCCUCAGGCUGUGUGAGUGGCCUUUUUUAUACUUUGAUGCUUAACAGAUCUUUUGAAUUUUCUGUGACACAUUGUUUUUCCUGCCCUAUUGUUUUGAGGAUAAUUGUUAGUCACAACCUUGAGGAUGAGAAAGCCUUCCUCCUUUAUUUAGCUAUGAAUGUGAUUAAAUUUAUUACUUUGGGAAUAGUUCCAGGAGCAAAAUCAUCCCCUCAGUCUGUGAUGUCAAACAAAUCCUUAGAAUGGAGCUUGGAUCAGGAUGGGGCUGUUCACCAUUAGAGGUGGACAUAACUGCUGUGCACCAUUUAGAGAUCUGAGAAAACUGGGCAUCUGUCAGCUAUGUGGCCUUGUUUUCUCCACAUGCCCUCUAUUUCUACUGUUUUCCUCAUGACUUUGUCUCAUCACCAUUCCUUCAGGUGGAGGUUACAGUCCCCUCAGGUCUGCUGGCAUAACUAUAACUGUAUUUUUUUCCUAUAGUUUUCAUCUCUGCCAACAUGAUCUUAGUUUACAUCUCCUAAUAGUUUUCUGCAAACCAAGAACAUGUUGAGGCAAUUAGGGAAUUAUAUAUACACAUUGUUGUGCUCAUUGGCAUGAGGAAAGAGGUAAUAACAUAGGGACCCCAGUGACUUCUUAUCCCACCUAUAACCAGAAUGGUCUGAAUUUUCUGAAAUUUCUGAAUUUAGGAAAAUCCAGUGUGAUUGCAUUAGUAGAUGAAGAGAGAGCAGUGUUGGUGGGGAAUAGGGAAGACUAGAAGGUUCUGUUUUCCUGAUGUUUAACUGUUCCACGGUUCUGCAUAGGUGUUUUUCAGUUCCCACCUUACUUCAGGUAAAUAUCCUUUGGUUUGCUUAUCACUCUCUGCUGUGUUCCCUUGAAACAGCCACAGUCUCUUCCAUUCCUCCCUGAGAAUCUCUGUCGGGGCUGAAUGAGGGAGUCAUGGAGCCAGCUGAGGAAACAGCUACUCAAGAGGCUGCACUUGCAGAAAGCUUGAUUCUUAACAUCUGAAAAAGACAUGAAGAGAUGGAAGAAGUCUAGAUUUAUUAAAAGAAGAGUUUGUAUCAUUUCCUUGUUGUUAAUUGUUAUUAGUGAGUGUGAGAGUUUUCAGUUGCCUAAAACCACUCAGGUUCCGCUUUUUCUAGGCAAAGAUUGUUCUUGGCAAUUGCCUGCCUCACUGCUCUGACACCUGCAAAGUGAAAAUCUGCUGCUUUCUCAUGUUAGAAGGAAGCAACUUUGCCAGCUAAGUUGCAGAGCAGCACCUCUGCUUCCAGACUGGACACAGCCCUUUGAAAUGUCUUUAGUCUCCCAUGCAGAUGUCAGGGAUGUGCAUUUUGCAGUAGAUGUUCAUAGUACAUCCAUAUCUGACCCAAAGGUAAGUAAGCCUCUGCACAGUCUCACUUCUCAUGUAGAGUCUUGGUAGAUCUAAGGUGAGUUCUCUAAAAACUAUCUGCAUUUCCUCUUACAAGCCAAGGAGGUUGGAAGUGCUCUGUUCAAAGGCUUCCAAGGCUAAGCCAGCAUUUCUUUACAAUUAGAUAGGAACACAGAGCUGGAACAGACCUCCCACCAUUCAACAACUAUUGUGGGAAAAUGUUAGCAGCUCUAGCCUUCUCCACUCCUAUCUCAAAAAGAAAAAAAAAAUACAGGAAUUAAUAAAGAAGGAAAACUACUUCUGAGAUACUCUUUGUUCUGCAGGCUCCUGAUUUGUCUUGAUGUUUUAUCACUGUGCUUUUUUGGGCAUCUGGCUUUCAGGAGAAAAAAAGGGAGCAUAACAGAAGCAAACCUGAGCCUGCCUUCAUGAGCACUGAAGCUGGUGAUGGUACGUCACAGCCGCCCAGAACGUUUUUGUUCAUAUUCUUCAAAAGAAAAAAGAAAAGACUGCUAUAAAGGUUCAGAAGAACUGCUAUGAAUUGAGAAUUGCAAGCUACAGAAAUGACAAAUUUAUUUAGAGAGAUUCUACCAACAUAUAUUUAUAUAAAUUUUGAAUUAUUCUAAGAAAGGCAGCUGGCAAAUAGUCUUUCCCCCCCUCUGUUUCUUUGAAUAUGCAAGUAAUUAUCCUGUUGUUUCAGAUAACUGUAAAAAUUUGGAGGGAAUGUAAAAAUAUUUGCUUUUUCUUCCCCCCCACAAAGUAACAUCAUAUUCCACUAUAGUCUUUUGUUUCAUAUGUUUCAUUAAACAGUUUCUUGAAGCCAGA
This is a non-coding RNA of Lonchura striata (white-rumped munia), 6947 nucleotides long. The record is from RefSeq and is a predicted model, not a curated record. Lineage: Eukaryota; Metazoa; Chordata; Aves; Passeriformes; Estrildidae.